This 173-nucleotide ribosomal RNA is filed under the name uncultured bacterium. RNAcentral describes it as "partial 16S ribosomal RNA". It matches the Rfam family "Bacterial small subunit ribosomal RNA", at positions 337 to 525 of the family's 1533-position model. The record is from RNAcentral.
UCCUACGGGAGGCAGCAGUAGGGAAUCUUCCACAAUGGGCGAAAGCCUGAUGGAGCGACACCGCGUGAAGGAUGAAGGCCUAUGGGUCGUAAACUUCUUUUAUAGGGGCAGAACAAAUGACGGUACCCUAUGAAUAAGCACCGGCUAAUCUCGUGCCAGCAGCCGCGGUAAUA